Molecule: long non-coding RNA, 383 nt
Organism: Sphaeramia orbicularis (orbiculate cardinalfish)
Lineage: Eukaryota; Metazoa; Chordata; Actinopteri; Kurtiformes; Apogonidae
Exons: 3
Source: RefSeq, a predicted model, not a curated record
CACCACCAAUCAGUGACUUAAGAGACCGAUGGCCUGCUCUUUUCGAUGCAACUCAGAUAAAUGAAGAAUUCAGAAGGAUCACCACUGUUGGCCUUGAGACAACAUUCAUGGCAAAACUGGACCAGUAUACCCCGAAAAUAAUGGCACUGGUGUCCUCAAGAGGAGGAGCUGCAAAAAUGAAGAUUCAGCACAUAAAGAACAUGCUGCUAGAGGAACAGACGGUAGAAAGGAGGAGAGAAGCUGCAAUCCGUAGCCUAAUCAUGUACAUGAGAGAACAGGAGGAGGAUCUCAUCAAAGAACAGUUGGUAGGUAAUCCAACACUUCAACUGAUAACUUCAGGAUUUAACCUGGGCAGUAUUUAGGGAUGGCAGACAGUGCAACUG